This 349-nucleotide ribosomal RNA is filed under the name uncultured Streptococcus sp. RNAcentral's name for it is "bacterial SSU rRNA". It matches the Rfam family "Bacterial small subunit ribosomal RNA", at positions 1031 to 1382 of the family's 1533-position model. Lineage: Bacteria; Bacillati; Bacillota; Bacilli; Lactobacillales; Streptococcaceae. The record is from RNAcentral.
AAGACAGGUGGUGCAUGGUUGUCGUCAGCUCGUGUCGUGAGAUGUUGGGUUAAGUCCCGCAACGAGCGCAACCCUUGCUAUUAGUUGCUAACAUUUAGGAUGAGCACUCUAAUGGGACUGCCCGUGACAAGCGGGAGGAAGUGGGAUGACGUCAAAUCAUCAUGCCCUUUAUGAUCUGGGCUACACACGUGCUACAAUGGUUGGUACAACGAGUUGCGAGUCGGUGACGGCGAGCUAAUCUCUUAAGGCCAAUCUCAGUUCGGAUUGUAGGCUGCAACUCGCCUACAUGAAGUCGGAAUCGCUAGUAAUCGCGGAUCAGCACGCCGCGGUGAAUACGUUCCCGGGCCUU